This 443-nucleotide ribosomal RNA is filed under the name uncultured bacterium. Its description in RNAcentral is "partial 16S ribosomal RNA". It matches the Rfam family "Bacterial small subunit ribosomal RNA", at positions 338 to 795 of the family's 1533-position model. The record is from RNAcentral.
CCUACGGGAGGCUGCAGUGGGGGAUAUUGGACAAUGGGGGAAACCCUGAUCCAGCGACGCCGCGUGAGUGAAGAAGUAUUUCGGUAUGUAAAGCUCUAUCAGCAGGGAAGAAAGAAAUGACGGUACCUGAGUAAGAAGCCCCGGCUAACUACGUGCCAGCAGCCGCUGUAAUACGUAGGGGGCAAGCGUUAUCCGGAAUUACUGGGUGUAAAGGGAGCGUAGACGGUAAUGCAAGUCUGGAGUGAAAGGCGGGGGGCCAACCCCCGGACUGCUCUGGAAACUGUGUAACUGGAGUGCAGGAGAGGCAGGCGGAAUUCCUGGUGUAGCGGUGAAAUGCGUAGAGAUUAGGAGGAACACCAGUGGCGAAGGCAGCUUACUAAACUGUGACUGACAUUGAUGCUCGAAAGUGUGGGUAUCAAACAGGAUUAGAUACCCCGGUAGUC